AGUGAACGCUGGCGGUAGGCCUAACACAUGCCAGUCGAACGGCAGCACAGUAAGAGCUUGCUCUUACGGGUGGCGAGUGGCGGACGGGUGAGGAAUACAUCGGAAUCUACUUUUUCGUGGGGGAUAACGUAGGGAAACUUACGCUAAUACCGCAUACGACCUACGGGUGAAAGCAGGGGAUCUUCGGACCUUGCGCGAUUGAAUGAGCCGAUGUCGGAUUAGCUAGUUGGCGGGGUAAAGGCCCACCAAGGCGACGAUCCGUAGCUGGUCUGAGAGGAUGAUCAGACACACUGGAACUGAGACACGGUCCAGACUCCUACGGGAGGCAGCAGUGGGGAAUAUUGGACAAUGGGCGCAAGCCUGAUCCAGCAAUACCGCGUGGGUGAAGAAGGCCUUCGGGUUGUAAAGCCCUUUUGUUGGGAAAGAAAAGCAGCAGGUUAAUACCCCGCUGUUCUGACGGUACCCAAAGAAUAAGCACCGGCUAACUUCGUG
This 492-nucleotide ribosomal RNA is filed under the name uncultured bacterium. RNAcentral's name for it is "partial 16S ribosomal RNA". It matches the Rfam family "Bacterial small subunit ribosomal RNA", at positions 29 to 507 of the family's 1533-position model. The record is from RNAcentral.